CCCUCCUGAUGGAGUGACUUUGACAUAAUCAAAGAUCAAGGACUUAACCACAAGACAAACGUGAUGCCUCAGGUCAAAGGACUAUUUUGCAUUAUCCCAACCAUGAGUUCUCAUGUGACAUGAAUAUGAGAACUCUUCGUUGAUCCUGUUCAGUGAACUCAUUCUCUAUUGAGCACCUACGUACUUGUGUUGAUGUCACACACACCAAUGACUUGAGACUAGUCACUCUCCCUGAGAGAAUACACAACACGUACUGAUCUUAACGGACUGUCAAUGCCCAAUUGGCAAUCCUAUGAUCAAGAACGUUUAGGAUAUGUCUACGAAAGAAUGGUCUCAUGAAUCUAACUUCUUUAGAUCGCAUUCUCCCAAUCACAUAUUCCUUGGACUUAUCGUUUAAGCAUAUAACAUUUAUAUGAGACGGCUCAAACAAUAAUCUUUGCCCUUGAUAUUAAACUAGAUUAGUUUAACAUGUGAAAUGUCCGUAAAGUAUCAUCAUAUGAUUGGUUUUAGGGCACAUUUCCAACAAUUUGUGUAGUACUCGUUGGUACGAACACAUAGGCGAAAGCCGUUUGCGAGUCUAGUUUAUAUUGGUAUAGUUACGAACAUUCGACAUUGGUUAUUUUAAGUUUAGUGUUAAUUAAAUUGAACUCCCAUCUUGUGGGAGGAAGAACCAAUGAGUUUUUAGAAAUAAAGGAAGAAAUGAGAGGGGAGGAAGAGAGCACAGGAGGGAGAUGGACAAAUUGGGAGAGGGGAGAGGAAGAAACUGUCCAAUUAGAAAGAGGAGAAAGGAGGGAAAGGAGGAAAAAAGAAAAGGAAGGGGCAAAAUGGGUCAUCCCAUGACCCGCGCGACUUGUAGAGAGCCACGGCCAAAUUUGGCCCUUUUUCCGACA
This 890-nucleotide long non-coding RNA is filed under the name Malus domestica (apple). RNAcentral's name for it is "long non-coding RNA (MDOM_LNC018762)". The record is from RNAcentral. Lineage: Eukaryota; Viridiplantae; Streptophyta; Magnoliopsida; Rosales; Rosaceae.